UAGAGACUCAGAGCUGCAUAUCAAUAAGCGGAGGAAAAGAAACUAACUAGGAUUCCCUCAGUAACGGCGAGUGAAGCGGGAAGAGCUCAAAUUUGAAAUCUUCAAGGUUCUACCUUGACGAAUUGUAGUUUAAAGAAGUGUUUUCUGUUGGAGGUUUUGGUAAAAGUUCUUUGGAAUAGGACAUCAUAGAGGGUGAGAAUCCCGUAUUUGACCAUUUACUUUCAGCUGUGUGAUACACUUUCAAAGAGUCGGAUUGUUUGGGAAUGCAGUCCAAAAUGGGUGGUAAAUUUCAUCUAAAGCUAAAUAUUGGCGAGAGACCGAUAGCGAACGAGUACCGUGAGGGAAAGAUGAAAAGAACUUUGAAAAGAGAGUUAAACAGUACGUGAAAUUGUCAAAAGGGAAGCGUUUGACACCAGUGUUGUUUUUCCGAAAAUCAAUUACGAAUGUUUUGUUUUUGAGGAGUUAUGACUUCAUCGGCUUGCUUCUCUCUUUACGAAACUUUCUUAAUGCACUUUUCGGUUAACAAGUCAACAUCAAUUUCUUUUGUUGUAAAAGGGUUUGAGGAAGGUGGCUUUCUUUUCGGAGAAAGUGUUUAUAGCCUUGUGCCUCUGCAAUCGGAGAGAUUGAGGUCUGCAGCGUAGAUCCUUCGGGGUUAGAUACGUUUGUGCUAAGUUAUAGCUUUUCAUAGACAACUUGUUGACUAUGUUUAGUCUUGUAGCUUACUCGCUGACGCUAUUUUACCUACGCUUAGGAUGUUGAUGUGAUACUGCGAGCA
RNAcentral lists this ribosomal RNA (775 nucleotides) under uncultured Neocallimastigales. Its description in RNAcentral is "partial large subunit ribosomal RNA". It matches the Rfam family "Eukaryotic large subunit ribosomal RNA", at positions 23 to 646 of the family's 3401-position model. The record is from RNAcentral. Lineage: Eukaryota; Fungi; Neocallimastigomycota; Neocallimastigomycetes; Neocallimastigales.